This 1504-nucleotide ribosomal RNA is filed under the name metagenome. RNAcentral's name for it is "bacterial SSU rRNA". It matches the Rfam family "Bacterial small subunit ribosomal RNA". The record is from RNAcentral.
AGGGUUUGAUCCUGGCUCAGAACGAACGCUGGCGGCGUGGUUUAGGCAUGCAAGUCGAACGAGAAAGUAUCCUUCGGGGUGCGAGUAAAGUGGCGAAAGGGUGAGUAAUAUAUGGAUGACUUACCCUCGGGACGGGGAUAACAGCUCGAAAGGGCUGCUAAUACCCGAUAGUUUUGAUAACUUGCGGGUUAUCAGAUAAAUGGUGCUUCCGCUCGAGGAGAGGUCCAUGUCCUAUCAGCUUGUUGGUGGGGUAAUGGCCUACCAAGGCAAUAACGGGUAGCCGGACUGAGAGGUUGGCCGGUCACACUGGGACUGAGACACUGCCCAGACUCCUACGGGAGGCUGCAGUCGAGAAUCUUCCGCAAUGGGCGAAAGCCUGACGGAGCGACGCCGCGUGCAGGAAGAAGGCUUUCGGGUUGUAAACUGCUGUCACACGUUAAGAAACGUUGCGGUCUACCGCAACUUGACAAAGGCGUGAGAGGAAGUCACGGCUAACUUCGUGCCAGCAGCCGCGGUAAAACGAAGGUGGCGAGCGUUGUUCGGAAUUACUGGGCAUAAAGCGCGCGUAGGUGGUUUUGUGUGUCGAUGGUGAAAUCCUACAGCUCAACUGUAGAACUGCUAUCGAAACUACAAGGCUAGAGGACAGGAGGGGAGAGUGGAAUUCCUAGUGUAGCGGUGAAAUGCGUAGAUAUUAGGAGGAACGCCGGUGGCGAAAGCGACUCUCUGGACUGUCCCUGACACUGAGGUGCGAAAGCUAGGGGAGCAAACAGGAUUAGAUACCCUGGUAGUCCUAGCUGUAAACGAUGGGCACUAGGCAAAGGAGGUUCCGAUGCCAUCUUUGCCGUAGCUAAUGCGUUAAGUGCCCCGCCUGGGGAGUAUGGUCGCAAGGCUAAAACUCAAAGGAAUUGACGGGGGCUCACACAAGCGGUGGAGCAUGUGGUUUAAUUCGAAACAACGCGCAGAACCUUACCCGGGUUUAAAGUGCAGGGAUUAACCUCCUGAAAGGGAGGGGAUUGCCUUCGGGUGUAACCUGUACAGGUGUUGCAUGGCUGUCGUCAGCUCGUGUCGUGAGAUGUCGGGUUAAGUCCCUUAACGAGCGAAACCCUUGUCUUUAGUUGCCAGCGGGUAAUGCCGGGGACUCUAGAGAGACUGCCGUUGUUAAAACGGAGGAAGGUGGGGACGACGUCAAGUCAUCAUGGCCUUUAUGUCCGGGGCUACACACGUGCCACAAUGGCCGGUAAAAAGCGAAGCUAAGCCGUAAGGUGGAGCAAAUCGAAAAAAGCCGGUCUCAGUUCGGAUUGAGGGCUGCAACUCGCCCUCAUGAAGUCGGAAUCGCUAGUAAUCGCGGAUCAGCUACGCCGCGGUGAAUAUGUUCCUGAGCCUUGUACACACCGCCCGUCAAGCCACGAAAGCUGGUAGUACCCUAAGUCGUGAUCCUAACCCUUUACUGGGGAGGUAGCGCCUACGGUAAAACCAGUGAUUGGGACUAAGUCGAAACAAGGUA